This is a long non-coding RNA of Nanorana parkeri, 231 nucleotides long. RefSeq lists it as uncharacterized. NCBI's taxonomy places the organism in Eukaryota, Metazoa, Chordata, Amphibia, Anura, Dicroglossidae. The record is from RefSeq and is a predicted model, not a curated record. The transcript has 3 exons.
AGAUUAUUGCAGCGUAUGCAGAACUGCCUGCAAAUACCUGCCUAUUUCAGAAAAUCUCAAGUCUCAAGAGAAGAUAUAUUUUAGAAACCCUAAAGACACUGUGCUGAAAUACUUUAACAGUAUUGCACAGGCAUGGUGUUUCCAGAAACAACAGCAUGAAUUGCAUGUGGCAUCCUACAAGCAAUAUAUAACUAACAACCAGAAUGCUUUUAAAGAGGCUCUUUUGAAGAU